UGAUCAAUAAUCAAUGAUCCACGAUCGUUGAAGGUUGAGCACGAUCAGUGGUCAUUGAUCAUUGGUCGUAGAUCAUUGAUAUUUCCUGCGCCCCAGGUCCGCAGGCUUUCCGCUCGUGAACCGCGUCAGGCCCCCGCAGGGAGCAGCGCUAAGCGAUGUCGGGAUUCGUUGCGGGGUGCCUGGGGCAAUUCACUUCCAAUGCUCAAUGACCAAUAUCCAAUGAUCAUUGAUCAUUGAUCA
RNAcentral lists this signal recognition particle RNA (240 nucleotides) under Gemmatimonadota bacterium. Its description in RNAcentral is "Gemmatimonadetes bacterium signal recognition particle sRNA large type". The stretch from base 90 to 189 matches the Rfam family "Bacterial small signal recognition particle RNA". Lineage: Bacteria; Pseudomonadati; Gemmatimonadota. The record is from RNAcentral.